RNAcentral lists this ribosomal RNA (465 nucleotides) under uncultured bacterium. Its description in RNAcentral is "partial 16S ribosomal RNA". It matches the Rfam family "Bacterial small subunit ribosomal RNA", at positions 338 to 795 of the family's 1533-position model. The record is from RNAcentral.
CCUACGGGUGGCAGCAGUGGGGAAUAUUGCGCAAUGGGCGAAAGCCUGACGCAGCGACGCCGCGUGAGGGAUGAAGGUCUUCGGAUCGUAAACCUCUGUCAGCAGGGAAGAACGGUCACUGUGCUAAUCAGCAGUGAAUUGACGGUACCUGCAAAGGAAGCACAGGCUAACUCCGUGCCAGCAGCCGCGGUAAUACGGAGGGUGCGAGCGUUAAUCGGAAUUACUGGGCGUAAGGCGCUCGUAGGCGGUAUGUCAAGUCAAGGGUGAAAUCCCCGCGCUCAACGUGGGAACUGCCGUUGAAACUGGCAGACUGGAGUGUGGGAGAGGAGAGUGGAAUUCCAGGUGUAGGAGUGAAAUCCGUAGAUAUCUGGAGGAACAUCAGUGGCGAAGGCGACUAUCUGGCACAUAACUGACGCUGAGGAGCGAAAGCGUGGGUAGCAAACAGGAUUAGAUACCCUGGUAGUC